This 305-nucleotide ribosomal RNA is filed under the name uncultured bacterium. Its description in RNAcentral is "bacterial SSU rRNA". It matches the Rfam family "Bacterial small subunit ribosomal RNA", at positions 333 to 636 of the family's 1533-position model. The record is from RNAcentral.
UUUUUCCUACGGGAGGCAGCAGUGAGGAAUAUUGGUCAAUGGCCGAGAGGCUGAACCAGCCAAGUCGCGUGAGGGAAGAAUGUCCUAAGGAUUGUAAACCUCUUUUGUCGGGGAGCAAAAAGGCUCUGCGGAGUCGUAUUGAGAGUACCCGAAGAAAAAGCAUCGGCUAACUCCGUGCCAGCAGCCGCGGUAAUACGGAGGAUGCGAGCGUUAUCCGGAAUGAUUGGGCGUAAAGGGUGCGUAGGCGGCCUGCUAAGUCUGGAGUGAAAGGUACCGGCUCAACCGGUACAGGCUCUGGAAACUGG